Molecule: long non-coding RNA, 372 nt
Filed under: Mytilus galloprovincialis (Mediterranean mussel)
Lineage: Eukaryota; Metazoa; Mollusca; Bivalvia; Mytilida; Mytilidae
Source: RNAcentral
UUUACUAAAUUGUUAGUUGCGACAUGUCUUAACUUAUAAAUUUUGGUUGCGAGGGUGCGUAAACAAUAAAAGGGAGUUUUUGCCCCUCUUAUAUUUAGAAUUAUGCGUAAAGUGAUAUUACUCAUGAACCAUACAUAAUACAGACCUAGGGUCUUUUGAUUUGGGAUCCUAUGUUUAUGACCUUGAAAUUGAGGUCAAGGUCAUAGGUUAAUUGGACGUUCUAAAUUUUGACCUUUGCUCGAAAUUCAUAUUUAUACAUCAUAAAGCCAUAGGAACUGACAUUUUCAACUGAAUCUUAAUAUUUUCAUAUCAAAAUACAUCCUUAUUGGUUGAAAGACCUUCAAUUGUUCUUUGAACAAUUGGUUUUUAAUU